This 413-nucleotide ribosomal RNA is filed under the name uncultured Diversispora. RNAcentral describes it as "SSU rRNA". It matches the Rfam family "Eukaryotic small subunit ribosomal RNA", at positions 569 to 984 of the family's 1831-position model. Lineage: Eukaryota; Fungi; Glomeromycota; Glomeromycetes; Diversisporales; Diversisporaceae. The record is from RNAcentral.
AGCAGCCGCGGUAAUUCCAGCUCCAAUAGCGUAUAUUAAAGUUGUUGCAGUUAAAAAGCUCGUAGUUGAACUUCGGGAUUUGCCCAUUGGUCAGGCUUAACUGUCUGCACUGGUGUGACGAGUUCCUACCUUCUGAGGAAUCUCCAUGUCAUUCAGUUGGUGUGGGGGGAAAUCAGGACUGUUACUUUGAAAAAAUUAGAGUGUUUAAAGCAGGCGUCCGUCUGAAUACAUUAGCAUGGAAUAAUAAAAUAGGACGGUUUGGUUCUAUUUUGUUGGUUUCUAGGAUCACCGUAAUGAUUAAUAGGGAUAGUUGGGGGCAUUAGUAUUCAAUUGUCAGAGGUGAAAUUCUUGGAUUUAUUGAAGACUAACUACUGCGAAAGCAUUUGCCAAGGAUGUUUUCAUUAAUCAAGAAC